CUAUAGCUCAGCUGGAUAGAGCGUCGGACUUCUAAUCCGAGGGUCGGGGGUUCGAAUCCCUCUGGG
Molecule: transfer RNA, 66 nt
Filed under: bovine gut metagenome
Rfam family: tRNA
About the family: Transfer RNA (tRNA) molecules are approximately 80 nucleotides in length. Their secondary structure includes four short double-helical elements and three loops (D, anti-codon, and T loops).
Source: RNAcentral